GACGAACGCUGGCGGCGUGCUUAACACAUGCAAGUCGAACGGAAAGGCCCUGCUUUUGUGGGGUGCUCGAGUGGCGAACGGGUGAGUAACACGUGAGUAACCUGCCCUUGACUUUGGGAUAACUUCAGGAAACUGGGGCUAAUACCGGAUAGGAGCUCCUGCUGCAUGGUGGGGGUUGGAAAGUUUCGGCGGUUGGGGAUGGACUCGCGGCUUAUCAGCUUGUUGGUGGGGUAGUGGCUUACCAAGGCUUUGACGGGUAGCCGGCCUGAGAGGGUGACCGGCCACAUUGGGACUGAGAUACGGCCCAGACUCCUACGGGAGGCAGCAGUGGGGAAUAUUGCACAAUGGGCGGAAGCCUGAUGCAGCAACGCCGUGUGCGGGAUGACGGCCUUCGGGUUGUAAACCGCUUUCGCCUGUGACGAAGCGUGAGUGACGGUAAUGGGUAAAGAAGCACCGGCUAAUUACGUG
This 468-nucleotide ribosomal RNA is filed under the name uncultured bacterium. RNAcentral describes it as "partial 16S ribosomal RNA". It matches the Rfam family "Bacterial small subunit ribosomal RNA", at positions 28 to 507 of the family's 1533-position model. The record is from RNAcentral.